Hyaena hyaena (striped hyena) is the source of this 922-nucleotide long non-coding RNA. RefSeq lists it as uncharacterized. The transcript is spliced from 4 exons. The record is from RefSeq and is a predicted model, not a curated record. NCBI's taxonomy places the organism in Eukaryota, Metazoa, Chordata, Mammalia, Carnivora, Hyaenidae.
AUGGGGUUUCCUAAUAACCUGAACGGUGUCUCUUCCCUGCUGGUGGCAUGGCGAUGCUCCCUGGCGGCUCACUCUGACUCUGGUCACCACCCAAAGCAGCCUCAUCUGCAGCAAAAAGAGUCUACUUUUGGUCGGCCGCUGCGCCCAUCCUUAGGCCGACUUCUCACAGAGAACAGAAGGACCUUCCCAGAGCAAAGCUUGCCGUCAGCGUAGAUGAUGAGAAAAUCACAGAGCACCUGUGCCCUAAAUGUUGCAGUGAUAGCCUGGAACUCCUGCAACGUCCCUCGGUUAGCAUUUCAAGCUAUGUCAGGACCUGGAUUGUCUAUGGAUUGUCUGGAUAGCAGCCUUGUGAUCACCGAAUGAAGCUUGGCUGAAGGGUGAACAUGUCUGUGGUGAGGACAGCUUGGGCUUUCAAUGAAUCUUCCUGAUCAUGCACGCCUAUCUCAGUAUUGCUCAUGAACGCUACUGGAUCGUAUUUAUGUUUCUAUUAAAGCCAGAGUAUGAGAGGGGGUCCAGACUACCCCAGGGGUCAGGGUGUAAUUGAUUCAAGAAAAUUGUACGGAGGAAGAAUUUAUGGAGAAACAAAAGUGGAGCUACUUGGCAAAACUGAAACUACUUCUUCACUUGGGAAACUCUGUGGGGUGCUACCUGAAGGAGGAUGUGGUCACCGAUAGCCCAUGCUUUCUGACUGGCACUUGGAAACCUUAGCCUGACCUUACAGCAGCCGUAACCGAUCACCCAACCCUGCACUGGUUAGAGUUCUGGGUCAGACCCUGAGUACAGGUGGGCCUGGACGAAUCGCUCCCCGCUCUGGAGCUCAGCUUUCAUCUGUGGAGUGAUCGGGUUCCAUGAAGGAACUGAGAGGGCUGCUGAAGCGCUCCCACUGUACCCACACACUGACCCCCGUAAGAGGGGGGCCGAG